ACGCUAGCUACAGGCUUAACACAUGCAAGUCGAGGGGAAACGGCAUUUAGUGCAUGCACCGAAUGGACGUCGACCGGCGCACGGGUGAGUAACGCGUAUCCAACCUUCCCACAACUAAGGGAUAACCUGCCGAAAGGCAGACUAAUACCUUAUGUAAUCCUUUGAUGGCAUCAGAUAAGGAUAAAAGAUUUGUCGGUUAUGGAUGGGGAUGCGUCUGAUUAGCUUGUCGGCGGGGUAACGGCCCACCAAGGCAACGAUCAGUAGGGGUCUGAGAGGAAGGUCCCCCACAUUGGAACUGAGACACGGUCCAAACUCCUACGGGAGGCAGCAGUGAGGAAUAUUGGUCAAUGGACGGAAGUCUGAACCAGCCAAGUAGCGUGCAGGAUGACGGCCCUAUGGGUUGUAAACUGCUUUUGUAUGGGGAUAAAGUCAAUCACGUGUGAUUGUUUGCAGGUACCAUACGAAUAAGGACCGGCUAAUUCCGUGCCAGCAGCCGCGGUAAUACGGAAGGUUCGGGCGUUAUCCGGAUUUAUUGGGUUUAAAGGGAGCGUAGGCCGGAGAUUAAGUGUGUUGUGAAAUGUAGACGCUCAACGUCUGACUUGCAGCGCAUACUGGUUUCCUUGAGUACGCACAACGUUGGCGGAAUUCGUCGUGUAGCGGUGAAAUGCUUAGAUAUGACGAAGAACUCCGAUUGCGAAGGCAGCUGACGGGAGCGCAACUGACGCUGAAGCUCGAAGGUGCGGGUAUCGAACAGGAUUAGAUACCCUGGUAGUCCGCACAGUAAACGAUGGAUGCCCGCUGUUGGUACCUAGUAUCAGCGGCUAAGCGAAAGCAUUAAGCAUCCCACCUGGGGAGUACGCCGGCAACGGUGAAACUCAAAGGAAUUGACGGGGGCCCGCACAAGCGGAGGAACAUGU
This 917-nucleotide ribosomal RNA is filed under the name uncultured bacterium. RNAcentral's name for it is "bacterial SSU rRNA". It matches the Rfam family "Bacterial small subunit ribosomal RNA", at positions 33 to 942 of the family's 1533-position model. The record is from RNAcentral.